Molecule: ribosomal RNA, 520 nt
Filed under: uncultured bacterium
Lineage: Bacteria
Description: bacterial SSU rRNA
Rfam family: Bacterial small subunit ribosomal RNA
Source: RNAcentral
CCCUUCGGGGUUAGUGGCGCACGGGUGCGUAACGCGUGGGAAUCUGCCCUUUGCUUCGGAAUAACAGUUAGAAAUGACUGCUAAUACCGGAUGAUGUCUUCGGACCAAAGAUUUAUCGGCAAGGGAUGAGCCCGCGUAGGAUUAGGUAGUUGGUGAGGUAAAGGCCUACCAAGCCGACGAUCCUUAGCUGGUCUGAGAGGAUGAUCAGCCACACUGGGACUGAGACACGGCCCAGACUCCAACGGGAGGCAGCAGUGGGGAAUAUUGGACAAUGGGCGAAAGCCUGAUCCAGCAAUGCCGCGUGAGUGAUGAAGGCCUUAGGGUCGUAAAGCUCUUUUACCAGGGAUGAUAAUAACAGUACCUGGAGAAUAAGCUCCGGCUAACUCCGUGCCAGCAGCCGCGGUAAUACGGAGGGAGCUAGCGUUGUUCGGAAUUACUGGGCGUAAAGCGUACGUAGGCGGUUAUUCAAGUCAGAGGUGAAAGCCCGGGGCUCAACCCCGGAACUGCCUUUGAAACUAGG